Molecule: long non-coding RNA, 5769 nt
Filed under: Volvox carteri
Lineage: Eukaryota; Viridiplantae; Chlorophyta; Chlorophyceae; Chlamydomonadales; Volvocaceae
Description: long non-coding RNA (VCAR_LNC002268)
Source: RNAcentral
AGCAAUAGUAGCAACCCAAUAAGAAGGACAGCAGCGCCCAGCGCUGCAAAUGAUGUUGGAUGUUAUCUCCGUUCAUGAUCGAGCAAGCGAGUAUGUUGCACCGGCUUAUGACGUUGCGUACUCGCUGACAGAGCUCCAUGAAUUGUUUGUCAAAAAUUUCAAGAGCAUACAUAAACUAUUCCACAUUAAUGAAUGCCAUCAACUACAGAGGGUAUCGCAUGCAGGUAAGCAUGGUGAACGAGGAGCACAGAUGAGAACGUAUGCGCAGUAGAACCCGAUCUCACCGGCAGCAAGGAUGAUGAGCGUUGCAGCGUAAACUGCUGCAAACGAAGUCGUGAAAUGAGACAUGGCUAAUAAAGAUGAACUGCUAAUCGGACAGCACGUAAGCGACUAUUUCGAGAAAUUCAGAAUUCUGAUAGAGACUUUGUUCAUUUGCAAAGCCGGUAGAAGGCAUAGUAAUAUACUCGGCGUCUUCGUACGACUAAUACCGAAGCGCGCGAAAAUGACUAGGGAGAAUCUCCAACAAGUGCCUUUUACGACAGAGAUUACGGAUUUGCAGUUCGAAAAUGACUAGCGAGACUCUCCCUAGGGGUGCCUGUACGACACGGAUGAAAAUGACUAGCGAGUUUCUCCCUACGGGUGCUUGUACGACAAUGAAAAUGACUAGCGGACGUAAGAAAGGCGGGGGCAUUAAUAGUUUGCUUUACGUCGCACAGACAUAGAAGGACUUUUGCACAUGCUAUACAACGAUUCGUUGGACGUGCUUCCGGUGUAUGAUGUUAAUGCCACGUUUCAAUAUUCGCUGGUAAAGUAUUUGUUACGUACAUUUCGGCUGGCUAUUAAGUGUGUGCCGUCCGUCCAAUUUGGACGCACAGCGUCCUGGCGGCGUAGAAGUUAUGUUUUGGUUUAUUUUGCGGGAUGAUGACAUUUUGCCCGGGUGCGUAUGCUUGGUGGUAUUGUCACUGGUCGCACCAGCAUAUUCAUGCAAGUGUGCUGCAGCAGACGCUUGAGUUGUUGUCGAAAGUCACAUGUCAUUUCCUGUUACAGGUAAUGCGAGAUUCACAGGUCAAAGGAGAACAUCAAGGAAAUGGACCUCCCCCUAUAAGAAGACCAGCAAGGACAAGUCAUGAACGCGGACCUAAACGGAAGCAGACUAACAUNCACGUUGAGCUACAGCAAAUAGACCAGAGGGCGUGGGAAUGANNNNNNNNNNNNNNNNNNNNNNNNNNNNNNNNNNNNNNNNNNNNNNNNNNNNNNNNNNNNNNNNNNNNNNNNNNNNNNNNNNNNNNNNNNNNNNNNNNNNNNNNNNNNNNNNNNNNNNNNNNNNNNNNNNNNNNNNNNNNNNNNNNNNNNNNNNNNNNNNNNNNNNNNNNNNNNNNNNNNNNNNNNNNNNNNNNNNNNNNNNNNNNNNNNNNNNNNNNNNNNNNNNNNNNNNNNNNNNNNNNNNNNNNCUUGCGGCCUAUGUGGCUUCGGUCUGUCUGAGCAGUGCAAUGUAGCUGUCUGAGCAACGCAAUGUAGCUGUCUGAGCAAUGCAAUGUAGCUGUUCAUACGCACAAGCUCACUCAGGCCUCAUCUAGUUCUUAUCAGUAUUUGCUUAUUGUAUCUCAUCAAGUUCUUAACAGUAUUUGCUUAUGGGCCUUCUGGUGGGGUUCCGAGGACUUUCGCCAAUUGGGGAGUCUAAUUGCUGUGGUUGCGGGUUCUGAGCCUGCCCUUGGAUUUGGUUUUGGAUUAUUUAGGUGACUUGCGUUGUCUGGUCUGGGUUGGAGUCUUGUUUGCCCUAAUCGUAUCAGGUGCAGUGCACGGCCUGCUGGCCCGCUGGCUGUACUCUUUGUGAGUCUGGAGCCCACUGUAACAACCACACUGCCUCGAGGCAUCCCUAGCCCCGGCGGUGGACUGAUAGGAACUAGCCUAGUCCGCACAAGUUCCACACAAGUGUGGGGGUGUCCGUAAGAGCUGGGGGGCCCAUGGGCGGUAAAUUGUUUUUAGGGCGGUUGCAUGGUGGACCAUCAUCAUCCACCCUCGUCCGCUUGAGCACGGAGCGCCUUAGAGCAACACGCCGGGUCUCCCAGACUUCCCAGAGGAACCUGGCUAGUGCCAGGGGUGGGGCCUCGGUCAUAAUCGUGCGCAUGUUGCACCCUUGAAACAUGAGGUCACGUUCGCCCGUGUACUAAUGUACGCCAGGCAUUCCACAAAGACAUGCAUUUCGUCUUCAACCGCCCCGCAGUCACAAAGCCUGCAGGUGCAUGCUGUGCACUCAUGGCCGUUAGGUUGGUUAAUCUCUAACUCCCAACAGCCUAACCGGAAACAUAUAAGCAUUUGAUGCAAACAUUGGGGCAUGGCGAUUUCAGGUGGUCAUUAUGGAUUUCAGCACGAACAAUGAACCCUGCCCACUCCCCCAUGCCCCUUGCGGGCAAGCAACGGAGAAUCGGGUGAGAGACCGAGCUUUCUAUUAGGGCCUGGUGCCUUAAUAGGGAGGGGUAGGGUCUGUACAGGGUUUCCGGGUUUCCUCGGUCUUCUUGAACCCUCACCCCAAGAGCCAGUCUUCUUGUGUGUUUCAGGCUCAGUGCUCAAACUCGCGUGACGGAGCCUUGACCCCCGGGGGAGGAGAGCGGAACUAGUGGACCCGCGGCUCUCAGCUGCUUAGGAGGGACAGAGGCCCCUUACACCCCUCUCCUGUCUGCGGGAGGAGUUUAGGUGGUCUUUCUGUUGGGGCUGGGCAGCAGUCCCUGGCCAGUUUCAGGCACGGUCAAAUACUUGCAACACACGCACACGCACACACAUACAUACACACACACAAGCUCACGAAGUUGAAUUGAAUUGUUACAGAGUGGGAGGCUUCUGGGCCAUUUGAACAUAUUGUCACACAAGCUCGCGAUAUGCCAGCUGAACUGAUUUCCGUGCCUCGAAUGCCCUGGUAAAAACCUUCUUGCGGACGUAACCCAGCUCAGACAAUGCACGGCUAAUAUCAGGGACGCUCCAAAGAGUGCCCAGUAAGUUUGUCAUAGCGGUGGCCAGAUCGGAGAGCAAUGCUUGGUCGUCGGCCUGCACCAGCUCCACCAGCGUCUGUGCAGCGAUCUCAUCAAACUUGCGUAGUUUGCGUGUUCCUGUUUGUCCUCUAAGCGGCAGGACAUCGCCAUUCGCCACGUAGGACUGUAUGAUAGCAUGCACAGUCCUCUCGCAAGGUCUGUGCCCGAAAGCCUCAGCUAUUUGCGCUUGCGUGUAACCCUCGUCGAAAUAGAGGUGGCAAACACGUUCGCGCACUUGUUUGCUGUAGUAGUAACGGUUCAAUACUUCUCCCAUUUUGAGAUCCGCUCUACAAACUGAGUAUGCACACGUACGUGUUCGCGUAUGUAGAAUAUUAUAAUAGAAAUUAUGCGUGUUCCUUGCGACUUGCGACUUGCAACUUGCGACUUGCGACUUCAGCAGUACGCAAGACCGCACUUCGCCUCGCAUCCCGCAAUUUGUUAUGCAACCAGCCAUAAGGGUGAGGUGGAGAGCCUUUUUCGCCGAGUACGGUGAAUGUUUGGGUGAAAUCACCUCCGUCCUUAAGGAUCUUCAGACGCAACUUCGGGACGCGUUGCCUGCGUCGCCGUCUCCGAGUUCUUCGGACACCCGGCGCAGGUCCAUCAUUAUCGAUGGAAUUUGUGAGACGCUGGACAGGAAUAUUGCCUCGUUCCUCGAGGUUGACAUGCUGCAGAAUUGCGUGUUUCAAGCGCUUCUCCAACGCCACCUGAACCCCGAAGUGUGAUUGGACGAAGUCAAGCAACUUUGUAGUGAGGGCGUGGCCAAGAAAGCCGGUGGUCCUUCCGGCUCGGCUGCCCCUCCUUCCAAGUCUGCCCGAACCUCAGAGGUAAAUUAACGUAUCCUUGCACCACCUCGUUUUAGUGGGAAGAAGGAUUCACACAUUACUAAUACAAAGACAUGGUUACAAGAAGUGAACUGAGGACUGAUGCUACACGUCGCGUUGCUUAGCUUGCAACGAGACGCGCCCACGAUGAAAGCUUCAGCUACGCUCACAAUACAUUAUACUGAUUCACUAUUCUCUCCAGUCCUACCACAUUAUAUUUCACCGACGUACUUCGGCACCUUCCACAACACCAUACGUGCUUUGGAAACGCGGGCAGCUGCUUCACAAGGGCCCCCAUAUUACGCGCUUCUUAUGCAAUAUUUUGACUUGUCGCAAAUGGACCCGCUUGAGCACUUUAUGUUCUGGCUUACGGGCAAGGCUCAGGAGUGGACGGCAGAUCUUUUCCUUAAGCACAAGUCCGGCACGCAACCACUUACCCGCGAUUUGUUGCGUGAUAAAUUCCUGUUGCAAUAUGGUGAUGUGAAGCACGACACCGCGAUGGCCGCACGCAAUCGUUUGCAUGCGCACGAAUACGAUAUGAAAAUCAAUGAGUCCGUACCAGAGUAUACGCAGCACUUUUACGAUAUUGUUCGCGAAGCGAAUGAUAUGAGUGUUGCGGAUCAAAUCUCUUGGUAUAUAAAGGCAGGGUAAGUGGUUAUGGGCCCCCGCCUGCUACUUCCGUAUUAUUUUUAAAGGCAGGGUAAGUGGUUAUGGGCCCCCGCCUGCUACUUCCGUAUUAUUUUUUAAUAGUUUGCUUUACGUCGCACAGACAUAGAAGGACUUUUGCACAUGCUAUACAACGAUUCGUUGGACGUGCUUCCGGUGUAUGAUGUUAAUGCCACGUUUCAAUAUUCGCUGGUAAAGUAUUUGUUACGUACAUUUCGGCUGGCUAUUAAGUGUGUGCCGUCCGUCCAAUUUGGACGCACAGCGUCCUGGCGGCGUAGAAGUUAUGUUUUGGUUUAUUUUGCGGGAUGAUGACAUUUUGCCCGGGUGCGUAUGCUUGGUGGUAUUGUCACUGGUCGCACCAGCAUAUUCAUGCAAGUGUGCUGCAGCAGACGCUUGAGUUGUUGUCGAAAGUCACAUGUCAUUUCCUGUUACAGGUAAUGCGAGAUUCACAGGUCAAAGGAGAACAUCAAGGAAAUGGACCUCCCCCUAUAAGAAGACCAGCAAGGACAAGUCAUGAACGCGGACCUAAACGGAAGCAGACUAACAUCAACGUUGAGCUACAGCAAAUAGACCAGAGGGCGUGGGAAUGAAGACGAAGCCAUUGUGUGGCGACAUAACACGUGCAGGCUGUCUGGCGAACAGACCAUGCGAAGAACAACAACAAAAACUGAUCCAUUUCGUCUAUGCAAGACAUAACGGCCAUUAGAACAGGGACCAGUGUGAAGCUUUGACUUGUAGCUAAACAGUUCCACAAGCGCAACCUACCGCAACUAGCCCACCUUCGUCCGAGCAAAUAAUUAAAUUCACGCGUAGUUCAUAGGCACAUAAUUCAGUGUAACUUGCGAUUAGCAUUGCAGAGGUGUAGCAGCCUGACGCCGUCAUUUACCAUGCAACAACGUUUAUAAUAUGACGAGAUGGCUCUGUUAGAAUGAAGACACACCUGGAGCACAAAGCAGGAUUGUCUUUUGCAUUGUAGGUUGGCCAAUCCUGCAUUGCAAUAGGCAAUCCUGCACCACUGCAGUCAAGAAUGCAUGCCUGCUGAGCUGGCCAGACUCGCAGUGCAUUCAUGUCUUGACUGCUGUGCAUGCAUGUGCAGGUAUGCACCAUAACUUCACGAAGUCCUCGUAUGUGAAAUGCACAUCAUGCACCAGUGAGUGAAUAUUGCGGUAUCCAUACUUGGAUGCGUUAAAAUCAACACGUUGCAGUGUAGUUAUGUCGACUAUGAAUUUAGUAAUCAUCACAGACUCCCAAACCAU